GGGGUUAUGGCUCAGUGAGAGAACAUCUGCUUGGCAUGCAGAAAACCCCAGGUUCCAUUCCUGAUAACUCCA
RNAcentral lists this transfer RNA (72 nucleotides) under Sphaerodactylus townsendi. Its description in RNAcentral is "tRNA-Ala". It matches the Rfam family "tRNA". From Rfam's summary of the family: Transfer RNA (tRNA) molecules are approximately 80 nucleotides in length. Their secondary structure includes four short double-helical elements and three loops (D, anti-codon, and T loops). Lineage: Eukaryota; Metazoa; Chordata; Lepidosauria; Squamata; Sphaerodactylidae. The record is from RNAcentral.